UCCAGACUCCUACGGGAGGCAGCAGUGGGGAAUAUUGCACAAUGGGGGAAACCCUGAUGCAGCGACGCCGCGUGAGUGAAGAAGUAUUUCGGUAUGUAAAGCUCUAUCAGCAGGGAAGAAAAUGACGGUACCUGAAGAAGAAGCCCCGGCUAACUACGUGCCAGCAGCCGCGGUAAUACGUAGGGGGCAAGCGUUAUCCGGAUUUACUGGGUGUAAAGGGAGCGUAGACGGCGGGGCAAGUCUGGAGUGAAAGGCCGGGGCCCAACCCCGGGACCGCUCUGGAAACUGCCCGGCUGGAGUGCGGGAGAGGUAAGCGGAAUUCCUAGUGUAGCGGUGAAAUGCGUAGAUAUUAGGAGGAACACCAGCGGCGAAGGCGGUCUGCUGGACAGCAACUGACGCUGAGGCGCGAAAGCGUGGGGAGCAAACAGGAUUAGAUACCCCCGUAAAA
This 448-nucleotide ribosomal RNA is filed under the name uncultured bacterium. Its description in RNAcentral is "bacterial SSU rRNA". It matches the Rfam family "Bacterial small subunit ribosomal RNA", at positions 330 to 794 of the family's 1533-position model. The record is from RNAcentral.